RNAcentral lists this long non-coding RNA (836 nucleotides) under Salmo salar (Atlantic salmon). RNAcentral describes it as "lncRNA (ENSSSAG00000095618.1)". Lineage: Eukaryota; Metazoa; Chordata; Actinopteri; Salmoniformes; Salmonidae. The record is from RNAcentral.
ACGGCGAGGGGCACGAGGUCAUGGCACCUGCUCCGGUAACGGCGAGGGGCACGAGGCCAUGGCACCUGCUACUAUGAGGGCGAGGGGGCACGAGGCCUGCCGGUUUGAUAAUGUUGGGAGUGGCGGCUUCAGCUAAGCCAAGUCUCCACCAGCGAACUGGAUGUGUAUUGGCUUGCAGUACUUCAGAGCGCUUCUAUUCCAGCAGCACAUGUAGGUUUCCAUAUUUUCUCUUUCUCUUUCUCUCUCUCUCAAUUUCUUUCUGUUCAGGACUAACAAGUCUACAGUAAAUCAGGAUCCUGGUUCUCUCUCUAGGGGCCUCUAGGGGAGGGGCCUCUGUCGUGGCUUUACCCUCUCCUGGCCCCGACAGUAGCUGUCCUGCAGGACUCGCCAAGGUGUAGACACAGAAGUUAUGAAGUAACUUACAGCGAUACUUGGUCACACAAAUGGGACCCACUGAGCACAAACAUCAAUUGAACGUCUAUUCCACGUUGGUUCCACGUCAACCAGUGUGUGCCCAGCGGGGAUCUUUUACAGUGCUAUGGUAAAGAAACAGUGGACCAAACAAGGGAAUGGUAAAUGGGGAAUGGUGGUAAGUACACACACAGGAAAGAGGAGACGUGGAAGCAGAAGGAACGAAAGGAUAUACAGUGCCUUCAGAAAGUAUUCACACCCUUUGACAUUUUCCACAUUUUGUUGUGUUACAGGCUGAAUUUAAAAUGGAUUAAAUUGAGAUGUUGUGUCACUGGCCUACACACAAUACCCCAUAAUACCAAAGUGGAAUUGUUUUUAGACAUUUUUACAAAUUAAUAAAAAAUGAAAAGCUGAAAUGACUUGAG